ACAUGGUAUAGCGCAUGAUCGUACAUACAUACGAGUAAUCUAUAUUUACUAUGCGCUAUGUCGUCGCUCUCCCCCGUUGCUACCACCUCAUCAGCCUCGUCUUCGCGUUCGCCCCUGUUCAGUAUUCGCCCCUGCUCCCGGCUCCCGUCCGAUCGUAGGCUUGCGACCAACGUCGCUUGCAAGUUGCAACGGCGACCGCCGCGCUAGUUUGACUGAUUUGACGUUUCUGUCACGAGUGGUGAGAGGUGCGCGAUUUGGCACGAUCACAGCGGCGACGGCAGAACGGCAGAAGCGGAAGCAAGCUCGAUUUAUUUCGCGUCUAUUACGAGGCUUUUGCCAGUUUUGACUGGGCGAUUACGAUCGAUUCAACGGCAUCGAUAAUUUCCUCGGAUUCCCUUUCCUCACGAACGACGGUCGUCACACCAUCGUUCGCCCUCUCAUCUGUAUGCCUUGCGUACGCCCCCACCGUCGCCGAUUUUCCAUGAAUGUUGAUAUUGUCUUCCCACAACCGUUGGUGAUGCAAAUAUCCUUCCUUGAUUUGAAGUCUGCAAGAUGGUUCUCAUCGUCCAGUUCCAAUUUUAGCUGAGAUUAAUACAGAAAUAGCGAAACGAAUACAGUCCAGCUUGGUGGUAAUGCGGGGAUGUGGAUCUGUUUCGACCCAAUAGGAAGCCGAAUAGGCUGGGGUACUUCCAUUUCGUUCGUCAUACUCUUGUAUUGGACCUCUAUUGAUGCUAGCCUAACGAAUGCAGCGGCGUCCAAUGUCCCUCGUAAUACCGUCACAUCGGAUAUAUCGAUACCAGCGUCGGCACACCACGAGAACGACGAAUGCAGGAAUGUGACCACUGACAAUAGAGAGGGUACUGGACUGUCAGUGGUCAGCCAUGGAUCCGGUUAUCCUCAUUCGCCGAUAGUGCCUCCAACCUUUCUGAACGGAGCUCUUACCUGCCAACCCUAUCAAGGAAUUUACGUGAAUCACAUCUACUUUCAACUUGCAAAUGCCUUCUUCCUAUUGUCACACCUUGCACCAAGCGGCAUACAUGGUGUACUUUAUUUAAGGUGCACUCUACUCGUGGGUUGUGCCUUUCUUGCUUUGUGGGGCUGGACAAUAGCUUGCUGGCUGGAUGCUGCUCUCUGGAAUGCUCUAUUUGUUGCCAUCAACUUCGUCCAUGUAUGCACGCUUCUUUACAAGCUCAGGCCUAUCAAAUUUACAAGGGAAAUCGAAGAGGUAUAUGUUGCAGUAUUCCAGCCAUUACGGGUGUCGCGUCAUCAAUUCAGAAAAGUAUUAAAUUGUAUGAAGAUCAUUCGCCAGUUGAAGUAUCAAGAAGUUUAUGCACAAGAAAAAGUGACCAAAGUCGAUUCUUUAUCGUUGGUGCUGUCGGGAAAACUAGUUGUAUCGCAAAAUGGAAGAGCAUUGCAUAUCGUCUUCCCACAUCAGUUCCUGGAUUCUCCAGAAUGGUUUGGUGUCUCGACAGAUGAAUACUUCCAAGUGUCCAUAACAGCUAUGGAAGAAUCAAGAAUAUUAUUAUGGCACAGAGACAAACUAAAAUUAAGCAUUAUUAGCGAUCAAUUCCUGCAGGCAGUGUUUGAUCACAUUUUGGGCAGAGAUGUAGUUAAAAAAUUGAUGCAGGUGAGUGAAACAAUGGCUGCUAGCAGUCAUCAGCAGCAGAAUGGACAGAUAAUUGGUCUGGGUGGUAUUGGAGCCUUAGAAAAUGAUCCUGAUACAAAACUUUUUGUUGUAAAAAAGACUGGUGAUAGUCAAGGGAUUACUGCUCUCAUCAGUCGUCAACUUCAAGAAGAGAGAAUGCCGCUGCUGUACACGAAUCAAGAAGUAUUGAAUAAUACCCUUCACCAUACGAACCACCUAUGUGUACCAUCCUGUACAUUUCUCCCGCAUCCUAUAUCGAACAGCGUUCAGACUUCGCUGUAAUGUCCUUGCCUACCGAUCGUACAACACUCUAGCACAAAAAUUGUAUGUGAUAUAUGUUCCUGCAAUGGAUGCAUAUAUAUUACACAAAUGUCGCAGAGUAAUUCCAUAAUUGUUGUUCUUCCUGGAUAUUGUAUCAAGAGCGGCAGGAGAUCCGAAUGCUUGGAGAUUGGGAAGAAUCGAAGAGACUGAUCACGAAACACCUGUUUAAUGAAAUGAUUGUUAAAUCGAUGUCAUCCUCGACAGUCAAUAUAACGUAACACCGGUGUUUUUACAUAAUGCAAUUACAGCAAGCUGAUAUUCAUUGUGACUAAAUAAUGUGCAUAUUGAAACUGUGCGUAGAAAAAAUUGAACUUUCUCUUGCCAAUUAAUAAUUUUCUCAGUGGCUAGUCAACUGUAUGAUAAUAAGAGAAAAUUCCAUCGUUUUGUAGCGUAUGAUAAAUUCCAUUCUAGUUUAUAAAGCAACUAAUCAAUAAGUUUAUGCUUCCAGUGUAUUUGUUGGGUAUGCUUGAACAUAUUGAAUUUAAGAGUGGCUAUAUUUAUAAUUUACUCCGUUAAAAUACCGUUUGGUAUGUUCUAUGAUGAAUGAAUAAUGGAUUAAGACUUUACAAGUAUGCAAGUGUAAUGAAAUGAGGGUGACAUAUUCACAGCGGCGUAACUUCUGUUAAUGGUCUGUGAUGUCGUGGUGGGACUUGAUAGAAGUUAGGGAGGCCUAAAGAAACUGAUUCUUUCCCAUACCCGGAAAUAGUGCCUUUUUACUUACACUUCCUUUCUUAAUGUUUCCAUGAAGAAAAUAUGUACAAUAUACUACUAUAUGCGCCAUAAUAUAUAACUUAUAUAUUUAUCCAAUGUAUCUCGUAGAGUUCUCCAAAUGUCGCUAUAUUACAUGUUUGAAGAUUCAUGUUGUGAUACUGUUAAGCAACCGAUGUUCACGAGUCAAAGAGGCACAAGAAGUUACGCCAUUAUUAACGCAUUGAAUAUUACGAAGUAUAAUAUAAAGAACAUUGUUGCGAGAUUUAUAUCGCUACAUUGCUGCUAGAGACGUCGAAUCGCGUAUACAACUUUCGAUACUUAACAUAAAAAAUUAUUACGAAUUGCUACAGGAUAAUAUUGUAAUUACAAUCACAAUGCAUUGAUAUACUUAACAUCAAGUUAAUUAUUUCAUUAUUAUUUUAUUUAUUUACA
Molecule: RNA transcript, 3109 nt
Organism: Atta colombica
Lineage: Eukaryota; Metazoa; Arthropoda; Insecta; Hymenoptera; Formicidae
Gene name: popeye domain-containing protein 3-like
Exons: 10
Source: RefSeq, a predicted model, not a curated record